This 2903-nucleotide ribosomal RNA is filed under the name Escherichia coli. RNAcentral's name for it is "bacterial LSU rRNA". It matches the Rfam family "Bacterial large subunit ribosomal RNA". Lineage: Bacteria; Pseudomonadati; Pseudomonadota; Gammaproteobacteria; Enterobacterales; Enterobacteriaceae. The record is from RNAcentral.
UUAAGCGACUAAGCGUACACGGUGGAUGCCCUGGCAGUCAGAGGCGAUGAAGGACGUGCUAAUCUGCGAUAAGCGUCGGUAAGGUGAUAUGAACCGUUAUAACCGGCGAUUUCCGAAUGGGGAAACCCAGUGUGAUUCGUCACACUAUCAUUAACUGAAUCCAUAGGUUAAUGAGGCGAACCGGGGGAACUGAAACAUCUAAGUACCCCGAGGAAAAGAAAUCAACCGAGAUUCCCCCAGUAGCGGCGAGCGAACGGGGAGCAGCCCAGAGCCUGAAUCAGUGUGUGUGUUAGUGGAAGCGUCUGGAAAGGCGCGCGAUACAGGGUGACAGCCCCGUACACAAAAAUGCACAUGCUGUGAGCUCGAUGAGUAGGGCGGGACACGUGGUAUCCUGUCUGAAUAUGGGGGGACCAUCCUCCAAGGCUAAAUACUCCUGACUGACCGAUAGUGAACCAGUACCGUGAGGGAAAGGCGAAAAGAACCCCGGCGAGGGGAGUGAAAAAGAACCUGAAACCGUGUACGUACAAGCAGUGGGAGCACAGAGCAAUCUGUGUGACUGCGUACCUUUUGUAUAAUGGGUCAGCGACUUAUAUUCUGUAGCAAGGUUAACCGAAUAGGGGAGCCGAAGGGAAACCGAGUCUUAACUGGGCGUUAAGUUGCAGGGUAUAGACCCGAAACCCGGUGAUCUAGCCAUGGGCAGGUUGAAGGUUGGGUAACACUAACUGGAGGACCGAACCGACUAAUGUUGAAAAAUUAGCGGAUGACUUGUGGCUGGGGGUGAAAGGCCAAUCAAACCGGGAGAUAGCUGGUUCUCCCCGAAAGCUAUUUAGGUAGCGCCUCGUGAAUUCAUCUCCGGGGGUAGAGCACUGUUUCGGCAAGGGGGUCAUCCCGACUUACCAACCCGAUGCAAACUGCGAAUACCGGAGAAUGUUAUCACGGGAGACACACGGCGGGUGCUAACGUCCGUCGUGAAGAGGGAAACAACCCAGACCGCCAGCUAAGGUCCCAAAGUCAUGGUUAAGUGGGAAACGAUGUGGGAAGGCCCAGACAGCCAGGAUGUUGGCUUAGAAGCAGCCAUCAUUUAAAGAAAGCGUAAUAGCUCACUGGUCGAGUCGGCCUGCGCGGAAGAUGUAACGGGGCUAAACCAUGCACCGAAGCUGCGGCAGCGACGCUUAUGCGUUGUUGGGUAGGGGAGCGUUCUGUAAGCCUGCGAAGGUGUGCUGUGAGGCAUGCUGGAGGUAUCAGAAGUGCGAAUGCUGACAUAAGUAACGAUAAAGCGGGUGAAAAGCCCGCUCGCCGGAAGACCAAGGGUUCCUGUCCAACGUUAAUCGGGGCAGGGUGAGUCGACCCCUAAGGCGAGGCCGAAAGGCGUAGUCGAUGGGAAACAGGUUAAUAUUCCUGUACUUGGUGUUACUGCGAAGGGGGACGGAGAAGGCUAUGUUGGCCGGGCGACGGUUGUCCCGGUUUAAGCGUGUAGGCUGGUUUUCCAGGCAAAUCCGGAAAAUCAAGGCUGAGGCGUGAUGACGAGGCACUACGGUGCUGAAGCAACAAAUGCCCUGCUUCCAGGAAAAGCCUCUAAGCAUCAGGUAACAUCAAAUCGUACCCCAAACCGACACAGGUGGUCAGGUAGAGAAUACCAAGGCGCUUGAGAGAACUCGGGUGAAGGAACUAGGCAAAAUGGUGCCGUAACUUCGGGAGAAGGCACGCUGAUAUGUAGGUGAAGUCCCUCGCGGAUGGAGCUGAAAUCAGUCGAAGAUACCAGCUGGCUGCAACUGUUUAUUAAAAACACAGCACUGUGCAAACACGAAAGUGGACGUAUACGGUGUGACGCCUGCCCGGUGCCGGAAGGUUAAUUGAUGGGGUCAGCGCAAGCGAAGCUCUUGAUCGAAGCCCCGGUAAACGGCGGCCGUAACUAUAACGGUCCUAAGGUAGCGAAAUUCCUUGUCGGGUAAGUUCCGACCUGCACGAAUGGCGUAAUGAUGGCCAGGCUGUCUCCACCCGAGACUCAGUGAAAUUGAACUCGCUGUGAAGAUGCAGUGUACCCGCGGCAAGACGGAAAGACCCCGUGAACCUUUACUAUAGCUUGACACUGAACAUUGAGCCUUGAUGUGUAGGAUAGGUGGGAGGCUUUGAAGUGUGGACGCCAGUCUGCAUGGAGCCGACCUUGAAAUACCACCCUUUAAUGUUUGAUGUUCUAACGUGGACCCGUAAUCCGGGUUGCGGACAGUGUCUGGUGGGUAGUUUGACUGGGGCGGUCUCCUCCUAAAGAGUAACGGAGGAGCACGAAGGUUGGCUAAUCCUGGUCGGACAUCAGGAGGUUAGUGCAAUGGCAUAAGCCAGCUUGACUGCGAGCGUGACGGCGCGAGCAGGUGCGAAAGCAGGUCAUAGUGAUCCGGUGGUUCUGAAUGGAAGGGCCAUCGCUCAACGGAUAAAAGGUACUCCGGGGAUAACAGGCUGAUACCGCCCAAGAGUUCAUAUCGACGGCGGUGUUUGGCACCUCGAUGUCGGCUCAUCACAUCCUGGGGCUGAAGUAGGUCCCAAGGGUAUGGCUGUUCGCCAUUUAAAGUGGUACGCGAGCUGGGUUUAGAACGUCGUGAGACAGUUCGGUCCCUAUCUGCCGUGGGCGCUGGAGAAUUGAGGGGGGCUGCUCCUAGUACGAGAGGACCGGAGUGGACGCAUCACUGGUGUUCGGGUUGUCAUGCCAAUGGCACUGCCCGGUAGCUAAAUGCGGAAGAGAUAAGUGCUGAAAGCAUCUAAGCACGAAACUUGCCCCGAGAUGAGUUCUCCCUGACUCCUUGAGAGUCCUGAAGGAACGUUGAAGACGACGACGUUGAUAGGCCGGGUGUGUAAGCGCAGCGAUGCGUUGAGCUAACCGGUACUAAUGAACCGUGAGGCUUAACCUU